CCAAUCUCCGGGCGCCCGCCGCUUGACUCCCAGGCUGCUGCUUCCGCAAAGCCGCGCCCACAGAGCCGAGGCCACGCCUCCACCGUGACCAACUCGUGAGGUGAAGUAAGAAGAAGCAACUGAGAUGAGGCAGCCCCGAUGAAAUAUUAACUUGGCAUCUAACUAAUAAGAGGGACGACAAUGUGGGCGGGGCCGCGAGUGGGCGGAGCGAAAGCCGGAGCGAGCCCAAGUGGUCGUCACGCGUCCGAGAGCGUCCCGAGAAGCGCACGCGAGCCCGGUCUUCUCUUUUUGUUCAGCAGAGAAGGAAUCUUUUGCCCGAGUCUUGGACAAUGAUGUCAUUUGUCGCUGUGUGCUUAAAAUAGUCAAAUGAAGACAGUACACCACACCAGAGCCGUAUGAGAUCACACACUUCAUCUCCUACCGUGGAAACCACAACGCACACACGCGCGCACCGGGGACGCCAACGCUGUGGCAGCCGACGGCGCGGCCAGCAACAGCCUACGGCGGCUGGCUAUCAGUAGCGGUGUCACUCACGCACGCAAAGUCGCCGUCCUCGCCCCGUUUGCACGCAGAGAGUCAGGUCGGGGAGAUCUCGGUCGAGAGCCCCAGAAGCUCUUGCGCUAAGUCAUCCCCAGGAAAAGCCCGACGGAGGCUGCCGAAGGAGGCUGCCGAAGGAGGCUGCCGAAGGAGGCUGCCGAAGGAGGCUGCCGAAGGAGGCUGCCGAAGGAGGCUGCCGAAGCGGCUCGCACAUGCGUCCAGAGCAUAUUGGAAAGGGGAGGGGAGGAAAUAUAUAAAUAAAUAAAAAGGCAAAGGG
Long non-coding RNA from Syngnathus acus (greater pipefish), 814 nucleotides. RefSeq lists it as uncharacterized. The record is from RefSeq and is a predicted model, not a curated record. The transcript is spliced from 2 exons. Lineage: Eukaryota; Metazoa; Chordata; Actinopteri; Syngnathiformes; Syngnathidae.